AGUUCCAAUCACAAAGCUCUGAAGGAGUUCUUGGAUCUUCUCUCCAACCUAAGACUCUGAGUAUUUUGCUGUAUGAAAAGUAGAAGGUAUGAAAGCGUGUGUUGCCUAGAACAAUGGCAAAGCACAUAAAUAUUAGGUAAAAACUCGUCAGGGGUAAUCCGGUAAUUCUUGUGGGACUUGGGCUUUAAGUCGGCUGAAACCCAAUAUCGUUUAUGCGCGCUUCCCCAUUGAUCGAUACCACAUAGUGUGUGUCGAUCUAUUGUUGCCUUCGCCCAUCGAUCGAUAGUCGUGGUCGAUCGCCAACUUCGGGUCUUUAUCAUUUUAUCUCCAAAAUGCACCAAAAUCACCACU
Molecule: long non-coding RNA, 351 nt
Filed under: Brassica napus (rape)
Lineage: Eukaryota; Viridiplantae; Streptophyta; Magnoliopsida; Brassicales; Brassicaceae
Description: long non-coding RNA (BNAP_LNC015487)
Source: RNAcentral